RNAcentral lists this long non-coding RNA (728 nucleotides) under Amborella trichopoda. RNAcentral describes it as "long non-coding RNA (ATRI_LNC003791)". Lineage: Eukaryota; Viridiplantae; Streptophyta; Magnoliopsida; Amborellales; Amborellaceae. The record is from RNAcentral.
UCGGGGGCGUUUAAUAACCGUUUAUUUUAGGAUAUCCUACCCAUUUUUCCUCUACAUCCUAAAAAAAAUAUUAAUAUAUUUAAAAAGAUCAUGUGCUAUCAUUGGUUGGUGCAUACUGUACGCUUCCUCCCCAUUAGGAGGAUCUCUGGUAGAAAUUUUGGAAUUCACUUUAGAAUCAUCAAUUCUAUAUUUUCGGGGAAGUUUCAAGUUCUUAAGUAAAUCAGACAACCAAAAUUGAAGACAUUUUUGAGUUCAAUCUUAAGAAAUUAACUCUUUUACAUUGGGUGCUAGGUUCAGGAUGUGAAAUCCCAAAAAAUUUAAAAAAAUCCCAAUCCUAAAAACCAUUUCUACAUAGGAUUUUACCGAGGGAGUGAAUGGAUGAUAUACUCCCACAUGACCGAGGGAGUAAAAGUCUUCCUCCAUUAAUAAAAAGGUGUGGUUUGUAUAAGGCUGAGAUUGUAAACAAUCAAAGUAAGGCGCACCUUCAAAUAUGUUUCAAUAUCAUAAUUUUUUUAGAGCAGAUUUAUGAACACUUAAAAAUCUUAAAAAUUGACAGUCUAGAUAAUGUAUUAACAAGAUAAAUUAUUUUUAAGAUUUCAAACCUUUGUUUUCUAAUAUCUAUAAAUAUUGUGGUCAAGAUGAUUGAAUUUGAGGGCUUUUCAACAUUGAAACAAACUCUUUUUUUGAAGCACGAUGAUAUUUGAGAAUUGAACCCAAAAGGAGAAGAA